GGACAGGAAACGGGGGCAAAUGUGAUGUAAUCACAGCUGCAAAGCCUCUUCGCAUAUUCACAGGUUAUGGGGAUAGAAUAUGCGCAUCUUUGGGGCGAAGUUCAUCCAACCGCAGGAACCUGCUCCCGAAGGCCCCUGGCAUGUUCUCGGAGCUCCCCGUGGCUGCGUGAGGGUGGGAAGGCGGAAGCAGCUCUUGAAGGACCUAGACCACACCGAGGAAUGGAAUCACCUCUUUAUAGGGUCCAAGGGGACUGGUUUUGGAAAGCAUGGGUGACCUCAUUCCCGCCCGGGACACACGGGGAGACACUUUCCCAGGUGCUUCCUCAGAAGUUGUCCUUGCUCUUGAAAGAACGAACAACUAUCUGGAAUGGAAGUUGUUUUUUCUGCUAUCCUGAGGAUGAUGUCAACACCACGGAUGGCAGAAAAGAGCUGUAAAGAAGAUAGGGCUUCGGAUGUUCUGCGAGAAAUGAUCAUUGUUGCACUGUAGGCUAACUUGGAUGUAAAUUUAAAAUAAAUAAAUAAAUAAAUAAAACAAAACACAAAACAAACCAAAAAAUUACAAACAAAAAAGGAACUCUCCCUAACUGACGUACCAAGAACCGGCUGUAGGUUUUCUGAGCUGCGCCGCGGUUGUGAGUAGGUAGAAAAGCUGAAGCCUGCUUUCUCUCCGCUCCACGUAACAAGCAAUCCCCGUGGGCAGGCUUG
Molecule: long non-coding RNA, 705 nt
Filed under: Suricata suricatta (meerkat)
Lineage: Eukaryota; Metazoa; Chordata; Mammalia; Carnivora; Herpestidae
Description: lncRNA (ENSSSUG00005020493.1)
Source: RNAcentral